CCUUAGCCCUGAUAGUAGUGAAAAUCCUUUUGUGUCUCGUUCCAAAAAACGAGACAUAAAAGAUUGCAACGAAUAGCGGGAUUAGCU
RNAcentral lists this small RNA (87 nucleotides) under Flavobacterium sp. 245. RNAcentral's name for it is "Flavo-1 RNA". It matches the Rfam family "Flavo-1 RNA". The record is from RNAcentral. Lineage: Bacteria; Pseudomonadati; Bacteroidota; Flavobacteriia; Flavobacteriales; Flavobacteriaceae.